RNAcentral lists this ribosomal RNA (1678 nucleotides) under Acheilognathus signifer (Korean bittering). RNAcentral's name for it is "16S ribosomal RNA". It matches the Rfam family "Bacterial large subunit ribosomal RNA". Lineage: Eukaryota; Metazoa; Chordata; Actinopteri; Cypriniformes; Acheilognathidae. The record is from RNAcentral.
GCCAAACAGCUAGCUCAAACAUUUAAAUUCCCCAAUAUGAUACAAAACAAUAUCUUAAUAAAUAAACUAAAUCAUUCUUUUACCUGAGUAUGGGCGACAGAAAAGGUUAAACCUGGAGCGAUAGAAAAAGUACCGCAAGGGAAGGCUGAAAGAGAAGUGAAACAACCCAUUAAAGCAAAAAGAAACAAAGAUUAAGCCCUGUACCUUUUGCAUCAUGAUUUAGCAAGUACCCCCAAGCAAAGAGUCCUUUAGUUUGGCGCCCCGAAACCAAGUGAGCUACCCCGAGACAGCCUAUACAACUAGGGGCAAACCCGUCUCUGUGGCAAAAGAGUGGGAAGAUCUCCGGGUAGAAGUGACAGACCUACCGAACUUGGUGAUAGCUGGUUGCUUAAGAAAUGGAUAAAAGUUCAGCCUCGUGCCCCUCAUGCCGAAGUAAGUUCUUACAAAUGACUAAGAGAGAAACACGAGAGUUAGUUGAAAGGGGUACAGCCCUUUUAACAAAGGACACAACCUUUUCAGGAGAAUAAAGAUCAUAAUUUACAAGACUUACUGUUCUAGUGGGCCCAAAAGCAGCCACCUAAGUAGAAAGCGUUAAAGCUCAGACAGACAACGAUCUAUUAUACCGAUAAAAAAUCUUAUUUCCCUAAAUUUAUUAAGCCGACCCAUGCCCCCAUGGGAGAAAUUAUGCUAAAAUGAGUAACAAGAAGGCCUGCCCUUCUUCCGGCACAAGUGUAAACCAGAUUGGACAACCCACUGAAAAUUAACGAACCCAAAUCAAGAGGGUAAUGUGAACGAUAAAAAAACCAAGAAAACCUCACAACUCACCAUCGUUAGCCCCACACUGGCGUGCCACCUUAAAGGAAAGACUAAAAGAAGAGGAAGGAACUCGGCAAACACAAGCCUCGCCUGUUUACCAAAAACAUCGCCUCCUGCAACUUUUUACGUAUAGGAGGUCCAGCCUGCCCAGUGACUACGGGUUCAACGGCCGCGGUAUUUUGACCGUGCAAAGGUAGCGCAAUCACUUGUCUUUUAAAUAAAGACCUGUAUGAAUGGCCAAACGAGGGCUUAACUGUCUCCCCCUUCAAGUCAGUGAAAUUGAUCUAUCCGUGCAGAAGCGGGUGUAAUAAUACAAGACGAGAAGACCCUUUGGAGCUUAAGGUACAAAACUUAACCACGUCAAACAACUCAGUAAAAAGUAAGAACUUAGUGAAAAAUAAGACUUUACCUUCGGUUGGGGCGACCACGGAGGAAAAAUAAGCCUCCAAGCGGAAUGGGUCAAUACCCUUAAACUAAGAGAAACAUCUCUAAGCCGCAGAACAUCUGACCAAUGAUGAUCCGGCAUAAAGCCGAUCAACGGACCAAGUUACCCUAGGGAUAACAGCGCAAUCCUCUCCCAGAGUCCCUAUCGACGAGGGGGUUUACGACCUCGAUGUUGGAUCAGGACAUCCUAAUGGUGCAGCCGCUAUUAAGGGUUCGUUUGUUCAACGAUUAAAGUCCUACGUGAUCUGAGUUCAGACCGGAGCAAUCCAGGUCAGUUUCUAUCUGUAACGCCACUUUUCCUAGUACGAAAGGAUCGGAAAAGAGGGGCCCAUGCUUAAAGUACGCCCCGCCCCUAAUUAAUGAAAACAAAUAAACUAAAUAAAGGGAGGGCCAAAGCCCAACCGCCAAAAUAAGGACU